Salvia miltiorrhiza (redroot sage) is the source of this 1703-nucleotide long non-coding RNA. RefSeq lists it as uncharacterized. The record is from RefSeq and is a predicted model, not a curated record. NCBI's taxonomy places the organism in Eukaryota, Viridiplantae, Streptophyta, Magnoliopsida, Lamiales, Lamiaceae. The transcript has 2 exons.
UAGCUAUUACUCUCGCGCUUGACCUUUAUUGCGAUAAUAUAAAAUAAGGUAUUGGCUCGUAUAUAAUCCUAAAAAAUGAGAAUACGUAAUUUAACUAUGCAUGACUCGUAUUCAAGAAUCAUUAUUCUAAAAUAAUAAUCUGAAAUUUCUAUUGUUAAUCCUGGCUGUCGGAUUAAAUUAUAAAAUUAAUCUGCUUGUCUUAGGGUUUUCUAAGCCGUUUACUAAUAAUAAUUUCGUUCCAAAUUAAACCAUAGUUAAAACUCACUAAUUCUAAUUAAUACUAGAUUAAUAUGGGCUAGUCUUUAAUCGGCUAAACAAAAAAAUAUGGGUGCCCAACAAAAAAAUAAACUCCAGCCCACAUAAAAAUAAAAUCGGCCCAAUUAUAUCUCUCUUUCUUAGUCCAAAUAAUAAAAUUAAGCCCAAAAGGGCCGCCCACUUCUUGUGUAAACAUACGGCUGAACUGCCUUUUCUUCAUAUCUCAAAAUCGAAAGCUCACCUCUCCCUCUCUCUCUCUCUCUCUCUCUCUCAUUCCCGGCGUCGCCGCCGCCGACCGCCUCGUUGAGCUGCCGCCUCCCACUCCUCUCCAUUUCACACCUUUGUCCCUAUUAUCUCUCAAUUAAAUCUUCCUCAUACCCAAAUCUACAAAAUCGAAAAGAGCUUAAUUCUCAUCAAGAGAUUUCGCCGCCGCCUUCGUGGAACCGCCGACGGUCGUCUCUUUGCUCAUCUCCGGCGAUUGAUUGACGUCGUUCUUCCUUUCGAAAUGAGCCCCAGCUCUCCGCUCUUAUUCUCUCACAGAAAGACCCAGCCUCAAGCAGAACUCAAUUUGGAACAUUAAUUAUUCAUCUCUCCUCCACAUUCAAAGGAAGCACACAAAUGAGGGAGAAAAGUUCGGCCCUAGCUUCUCCGUCUAAAAUCGCGGGUCAGCGCCCUGGUUCGAUGCUGUCGCGUCUUCCUUGGCCGGAGAUCGCAGCGCCGCUGAAAUCUGUCCUCUGCUCAAGAACCGGCUCAAGCCUCACUCUCUCCCUUCUUCUAUUGAAUUCUGGUAUUUCUAUAAUUGAUUAUGCAAGAGAUAAAACUAAGUUCGUGGUUUACUAAUGUAUCAAGAAUUUUCCUUGCUUGCCUCGUGUGAUAAGAAAAUAUAGCAUAAACUGAUUUCGAUUGCUAAGUCCCUGUGUGCAUAUAUAUACACUCGUUGUAAACUUUAUGUCCUUCAACUAAUCCUGUUUGUGAAUGAAAUGCGAAUCGGAUUUGAACGAGCUGAGCUUAGUAAAUACCUGCAAAUAUUUGGUGUUGGUGGCUGCUGUUAUUGAUAUUGAAUGCAGACGAUGGGGACUCUUAAAGUUGGCAGAGCAGCAGCUUAAUGAAUUCUCCUUACUUUGGUGGCUGAAGGAUCAGAGAAUGAAGGCAAGGAGUGUUGGCUAGUAGCCUUAAAGAAUCGAAAAUGGUGGAGGUGGUGGGUGAUUGAGGAGAUGGCUGUCAUAGGGUGGCUGAUUGACACCUAUGUGUACCUUGGCAUGGUUAAAGGGAUGGGAGAGUGGCUUGAAGGCUGCCGUUGCAGCUAUUCUGCACACACAUAGCACACGUCCCCUUUCUUUCCCUUUCUUUGGUCUGCUUUCUUGAUGUAGUAGGUAGGAAAUAGGGAUGCAGGGAAUAGUAAGUUGUAAAGUUGUGAUGUGAUGAAUAAAAUCCUUCAGUGUUGCUCA